AGGAGAUUUCAAAAACAAUGUUCUAAAAUUCAUUGUGGUCAUGGUUGCACAAUUCUGUGAAUAGACUGAAAACCAUGGAGGUGUACACUUUAAAUGAGUGAACUCUAUGGACAGAAGCACAGCAGGUGCUACUGGUGUGUGCUCACAUCCCUGUACAUCACCAGAGGCUUUCUGGAAGCCUCUAAAUCUCUGUACCUGAGGACUUUCUCUAGCCACAGAAACAUGCUCACUCCCUUCCCUUCUGCAGGGUGAACUGAAGUUCUGGGAAGUCGACUUCCCUGAAAGCAGCUCUGAAUUAAUUACAGAGUUGCAGGAGCAAUACCCAGCUUCCUCACCGACUGUGUGGUACAGCUCAAAGGUGUGUUCUAAAUUGUCCCCAGACAUGCCAAGGAGGGCUGCAUCCCAGGUUCCCGCAGUGACGACCUGCCUUUCCAUGUACCCUGGUGUUGGCUGCCUUGCCUUCCCCAGCUUACUUUCUUCAUUCCCUACCAGUGCUUCCUGGCAUUACCUACCAAAUAAGCUAUCCCAGCACAUAAACGUCUGAGUCUGCUUCUGAAGAAGACUAACCUGAACUAAAGGAUAAUCAGAGUCCCUUCCUCUUAGGUCUAUUGGAAGGAAGACAUAAAAUAGUAUAAGGAGAGAUUUCAGCACUAUGUCUGGCCACUUAACAACUGUUACCUAUUAUCACUAUUAUUAGUAUUACUGUUGUUAUGACUAAAACCAAAUAAUCGACUUGAAUUGUUUAUCAGAUCUCGGCCCAUCUGGAAGCCUGUCUUGGCUUUCCUACAUACGUGAGACAUGCCAAGCCAGUAUCGUGCUUAUUAUUUCGCCACUGAGCUCCCAGUUAAUUAUUUUCCAUCCAAUUGACUCCAGGUUUUCAAAGACUUUAUCUAGCAAACUGCACAGAUUAAGUAAUAAUUUAUUUUCUCACCCAUGUUUUAUUAAUCAAAGGCAUAUGUAACUGCCAAUCAGAGCUGCUGAUCAGAAUUAAAUUACUAAGUUCACCAUGCAGAGCUAAUAUCAUUUCAGUCAAAAGCAAAACAUCUUGAUGUUUUUGUUUGUGAAGCUUUAUCACUUGAAAAUGUAAGAUUAUAUUAGAUUUUCUGAAAUAUUUAAAAUAGCUUGCAGACCUUCAUUGCUACCAUCGAGGUCUCCUAAGACCUAAAAACCCCAUGUUGGCCAUUGCUGAUCUAAUAAACCAAAAUUCAUUAGGAAGUAUGUCUGUUUUUGCUAAAAAAAUUGGAGCAAUAAAACCUUUAUUGCCAUAUUUGGCAAUAACCUUUCUGUGUAUGAUGAGAAAAUAAAGGAUAAAUGAAUAUUUA
Cebus imitator (Panamanian white-faced capuchin) is the source of this 1322-nucleotide long non-coding RNA. RefSeq lists it as uncharacterized. The record is from RefSeq and is a predicted model, not a curated record. The transcript has 2 exons. NCBI's taxonomy places the organism in Eukaryota, Metazoa, Chordata, Mammalia, Primates, Cebidae.